Molecule: ribosomal RNA, 253 nt
Filed under: uncultured bacterium
Lineage: Bacteria
Description: partial 16S ribosomal RNA
Rfam family: Bacterial small subunit ribosomal RNA
Source: RNAcentral
UACGUAGGGUGCAAGCGUUGUCCGGAAUUAUUGGGCGUAAAGAGCUCGUAGGCGGUUUGUCGCGUCUGCUGUGAAAACCUGGGGCUUAACUCCGGGCCUGCAGUGGGUACGGGCAGACUAGAGUGCGGUAGGGGAGACUGGAAUUCCUGGUGUAGCGGUGAAAUGCGCAGAUAUCAGGAGGAACACCGAUGGCGAAGGCAGGUCUCUGGGCCGUAACUGACGCUGAGGAGCGAAAGCGUGGGGAGCGAACAGG